Molecule: long non-coding RNA, 88 nt
Organism: Sapajus apella (tufted capuchin)
Lineage: Eukaryota; Metazoa; Chordata; Mammalia; Primates; Cebidae
Exons: 3
Source: RefSeq, a predicted model, not a curated record
AAGGAACACUUUAAUGGAAUUUUUAUUCAGGAAAUUGCCCAUCUUAUAUGACCUAUUGGUAAGAAUAACGGAACAAGUAUUUUCCAUC